This 3130-nucleotide long non-coding RNA is filed under the name Piliocolobus tephrosceles (Ugandan red Colobus). Its description in RNAcentral is "lncRNA (ENSPTEG00000015394.1)". Lineage: Eukaryota; Metazoa; Chordata; Mammalia; Primates; Cercopithecidae. The record is from RNAcentral.
AUGAAUAAAAAGGUACUAAUUAGUGAAUAUACAAAUGUUUUAGAAGAUAGCAAAACAAAUGUAGGGCGUAUUUGUAAUGGUACCGAUUUUUAUACUGGUUUUGCUGGUACAACUACAUCUAUUAUUCACAAUAGUAAUAAAAGUUUAUUUGAGCCUAAAUUUAACCUUUUUUUUGAAAUUUCCUCAAAAAUUAUAAAGCUAGUUUUGAAACAAGACUUAUCUAUAUAUAUUAUACAAAAUUGUGUGGAUAUUAUUUUACGAUUAUGUGAUUUAUACAAUCAAGAAAUGUUAUUUUUGGAUUUUCUUUUAUUAUUUAAAUUUUCUAUUAAAAAUGAUAAAAAAAAAGUAACUCGUUUUUUAAUUUUAGUUAUUAAGCUAAUUACUGCUUAUAAAAAUAGUUUAAAAAAAAAAAUUUUUUUUUUUAAAAUAAUGAAAGAUGUUAGUUCUUUUUUACAAUUGUUGUAUAUAAACAACUCAGAUAUAUGUAUGUUAACUAGAGAAUGUUUAGAAUCAUUAAAAUGUUUCGAUUGGUUUGGAUAUAAGUAUUUGAAAAAUAGGAGUGAAGAAGAACAAACUGUUUUGUUAUAUAAAUUUAACAGUACUACUGGUCAAUUAAAAAAUAACAAAACAGUUAUCGAAAACGAAAUUAUAAAAAUUAUGAACUUAAUUUUAUUUCAUUUGAAUGAUAUAUAUCGAAUUAGUAGUAAAAAAGGAGCUGAUAGAGAAGAUACAAAACAUAUAUUUGAAAAAUUAUAUUAUAAUGUAAUAAUACUUUAUGACCCAUUAUAUAAUACUUAUAUAUAUGAUCAAAUUGAGAAUAAAAAAAAAAAAUUAUUUUUUAAAUAUAAAAAUAAGGACGAAAAACAUAUUAUAAUGAAAAACCUUAUAGAACAAAUCGAAGUGUUAAUAAAAAAUUUUAAUUACCUUUUUUCUUUUGUUUUUGAUAAGGACAAAUGGGACAUACAUUUUAUAUUUUUUUUUAUUGAUGCUUUGACUUGUAUCCAACAAAUAAGCAAAAAUGGGAAUAAAAAUGGGAAUAGUGUUUUUUUAAAAGAAUUUUUUUAUGUUAUAAAACAUUUGUUUAUUCAAGCGACUUAUGUUUUCGAAAGUAUGGAAGAGAGAAAUGGAUCGACUAAAGCAAGCGUGAAUGAAAAAAAAAACGUGUUACUUAUUAUUGACCUGAUUCGAGCUGAAAAUGAAAUUAUUUUUAACGUAAAGGAUAAAAUAUUUUUAUUUGAGCAUAAGAGGCUAAAUAGACUGGUUGAACAUAUUAAGGAGUGUACUAGCAGUAGUGGAAGUGGCAGUGGUAACAGUAGUGGAAGUGGCAAAGACAACAGUAGUGGCAGUGGCAACAGUAGUGGUAGUGGCAGUGGCAACAGUAGUGGUAGUGACAAUAAAAAAAAAAACGAAUUGUUGAUACUUUUAAAAUAUUUAUAUAUAACAAUUAUAAAUUUUUUAAUGCCAAGUAAACAAAAAAAAUGGCCAUUCUUUGAUUCAGGUAACUUUUUUUUUUUUAAAAUAUUAUUACUGAGAGUUAUUUGUUAUUUUGACAUUUGUUUUGGUUGUUAUGGGUGUGAAAGAGAGAUUAUAAACGAAGGCAUGCAUGAAGGAAAUAUUGAAAGUAACAACUUAGACAAAAAAAUAAGUAAUAACUUAAGCAAUAACAUAAGUAAUAACAAAAACAAUAACACAAGUAAUUACUUAAGCAAUAACACUAACCCGAAUACACACCCAAGUAAGUUCUUUUUGUUCAGUGUUUUUUUUAGAAGAAUAAAAAAAAAAUUAAAAUGUAAUUUGCACUUGAAAGAAUUAAGUAAUAAAAAUAUUUUUGCAGAUAUGGUAAUAAAUUAUAAAAAAAAAGUAAACUGGUUAAACAUGAAGAUAAAACCAAAACUAAUAUCUUAUGAAAUGGCAACAUAUACAACUUUUUCUUUUGACAUUUUAAACAAGAUUGUUUUAUGUGAUAAUGUAUUAAAUGAUGUAUACGAUACAAAUAAAUAUAAAAAUGUUAUUAUAAACUUAUGUAAAAACCAACUUUUUAGUUAUUUUUUUUUUUUACCUGCAAAAAAUACAGGUAAUUUUUUUUCACAGGCUAUUACAACUCUUUAUUAUUUGUAUAUUAUUUUUUAUAACAGUGGUAAAAACCAGGACUUACUUCAAUAUAUAACAUUAAUAAUAUUUUUAUGUUGUAAAAAAGCAAUGAGUAGUGUUAAUAAAAAGAAUAUUAUUUUUUAUGGAACUAAAAGAAAUAAACGUGGCAAUGUUAUUUGUAGUAAAAGUGGUGAUAAAUGUGAUGAUUAUACAAAAGAAGUUACCUUAGUAACUAAUUUUGAAAAACCUUAUAAAGAAUAUUAUUUAAAUGUAUCUUUAUACAUUUUUAUAACAUGUAUAGAAGCAUUCACAAAUAUAAUUAAGUGUAAUAUUAUUAAUUUUAAUCACCCCAAUAUAAACAAUAUUAUAAUCUCUAAAACAAAAAUUAUAAAGAAACAAAAAAAACAGCACAAAUAUUUAAAAAAAAAAAAAAAAACAUGUUUAGCUAUAUUUAACUAUAUAUAUAUGAGUUAUUUAUUUAAAUAUAUUAUGAAAGCAAAAAAUAUAAAAUAUUUCUACAAUACUAGGAAAUCUGUAUUAAAUUUUAUGGAUCAUUUUAUUAUAUGGAACACUAUUUUUAUUUUAAAAUAUAAAUUUAAAAAUAAUUUAAAUAUAAAAAACAUUUUAAAUUUUUGUAAUUAUAUUAUUUCUACUGAUUAUAAUAUAGAAGUCUUUUCAACCAUUUACAAUACUGUCUUUUCCUUAAAAAACUAUUUAACUUUAUGUGGAACCAAAAUUAAAAGCUUUAAUUAUUAUUUAAACGAAUGUGACAAUUUACUCUUUCAAAUUGUAGAUGAAUACAAAACUUAUGAUUAUACCCCAACAUAUUUAUGGGAAGAAUACAUAUCUAAAACAGUAAGUUUCAAUUCUUUGAUGUAUACUCACACAGAUUGCCCAGAGUAAUAGUGUAGAUGAUUUCCCCCCCCCCUACCUACCUAUUUACCUACAUUUCAACCGAUUUGUAAACACCCCAAUGUUAUGUAAUUUAUUUAUACAUACAUAUAAAAUGUAUAGAACUUGGUAGUAAUAUACCUUAUUU